UUAGUCGACUCGGGGGAUAACACUAGUAAAUAGUAGCUAAUACCGCGAUAAGCGCACGGAGGCCGCAUGGCGUCAGUGUGAAAAACUACCGGUGGUGUAAGAUGGAUCCGCGUCUGACUUAGCUGGUUGGCGGGGUAGAAGCCCACCAAGGCGACGAUCAGUAGCCGGCCUGAGAGGGUGAACGGCCACAUUGGGACUGAGACACGGCCCAAACUCCUACGGGAGGCAGCAGUGGGAAUAUUGCACAAUGGGGGAAACCCUGAUGCAGCAACGCCGCGUGAGUGAAGAAGUCAUUCGUGAUGUAAAGCUCUAUCAGCAGGGAAGAAAAUGACGGUACCUGAGUAAGAAGCCCCGGCUAACUACGUG
This 366-nucleotide ribosomal RNA is filed under the name uncultured Lachnospiraceae bacterium. RNAcentral describes it as "bacterial SSU rRNA". It matches the Rfam family "Bacterial small subunit ribosomal RNA", at positions 126 to 507 of the family's 1533-position model. Lineage: Bacteria; Bacillati; Bacillota; Clostridia; Lachnospirales; Lachnospiraceae. The record is from RNAcentral.